RNAcentral lists this ribosomal RNA (253 nucleotides) under uncultured bacterium. RNAcentral's name for it is "partial 16S ribosomal RNA". It matches the Rfam family "Bacterial small subunit ribosomal RNA", at positions 524 to 776 of the family's 1533-position model. The record is from RNAcentral.
GACGGAGGGUGCGAGCGUUAAUCGGAAUUACUGGGCGUAAAGCGCAUGUAGGCGGCCGAACAAGUCAGGUGUGAAAUCCUCGGGCUUAACCUGGGAAGUGCACUUGAUACUGUCCGGCUAGAGUUUGGCAGAGGAAAGUAGAAUUCCCGGUGUAGCGGUGAAAUGCGUAGAGAUCGGGAGGAAUACCAGUGGCGAAGGCGGCUUUCUGGGCCAAUACUGACGAUGAGGUGCGAAAGAGUGGGGAGCAAACAGG